RNAcentral lists this ribosomal RNA (300 nucleotides) under Triticum aestivum (bread wheat). Its description in RNAcentral is "partial small subunit ribosomal RNA". The record is from RNAcentral. Lineage: Eukaryota; Viridiplantae; Streptophyta; Magnoliopsida; Poales; Poaceae.
AUGCGAGUCUGGAACAAUAUAUUCACUUGGCUAGAUCUCCAUGUCAACACGGCGCCCUGGCAUAGCUUCCACACGGUCAAGGCAUGGUGGGAAGGGGUCAUCGGCCAUGCGCAUCACAAGAAGGCUUUGUCCUCCCAGCUGCAUCUUGUUGGAUGGGAGAUAUGGAAAGAAAGAAAUGCGCGUGUCUUUAGGAAUAAAGCGGCACCAAUGGCGGUGGUGGUUCGUGCUAUAAAGGAAGAAACGUCACUUUGGGCUAUUGCGGGUGUCAAGCAUUUGGGUAAUGUAAUGCCGCGAGAGUAA